This 733-nucleotide small RNA is filed under the name Drosophila yakuba. RNAcentral describes it as "GE29250". The record is from RNAcentral. Lineage: Eukaryota; Metazoa; Arthropoda; Insecta; Diptera; Drosophilidae.
CUGAUGUGCACUCGGCCAAAGUGGAUUUUUGCCACCGUCUAGAAGUCGUAGAAGAGACCCAAAAUCUCAACCCCUCGGAAAAUCUUGUACUUGCUUCUGGUGAGCUGUUUCUAAUGCGUUCCAUUCGCUUGCUGGCUGUCAGGCUGCGUUGCUGCUGCUGUCAUUUUCUAUUUUCUAUUUUCCAUUUUCCAUUCGAAUUUGUUUAGCCUCGGCCCGCUCUCAAACGCAAGGGCCCUUCGGCUUCGCCUUACCAUAAUAUCCCAGUCAUGCGGAUGCCACCGCCCUCGGCCCCUCGGCCAUAAUUCGAUUUAUGUAAAACUCUUGUAGUCUUGUAGUCCUGCAGUCCUGCGACUGCUGCAAUUUGCUGCCAGUGCUCAAGAGCUGCUUGUGUCCGAAUGCAAUUGCCAAAAGGUGUGAGGCCCAGGCUCUCAGGCGGCUCCUCCUGCUGAUUCCAUAAAGAAUGCCGUAUCGGGGGAAUUGAACGGAGCUGAACUCGGUCGAACACCUCGGCUUACAGCAAGGACACCCACAGGACCCGAAGGACACGCAAUAACAUCGAAGCCCCAAUGUCGGAGUCUGAGUCAGAGUCGUUUGCAUUGAUACGAUCAUAAGCAUAAAGCGAGCACACACAUAUAUCGAUAUCAAUAAAAGGGGAAACGCUGGGGGAAAUCACGGAAAUUCUGCUACGGCACACAUAACCCCUAACCCCCAACGACCCUCUCAGAUGGUUUGA